ACAAAAAAAAAAAAUCGGUCUGGGUUUGGAUUGAAACAUUUCGGUUUGGUUUGGGUUCUUCCCUAUCUUUUGUUUCCCUCAUCACUCUUCACUGCAAAAGAGAGAAAACCCAAAAACCUCCGCAAAACCUUUCUAUCCAAAAAAAAUGCAGCUCUCGGUUCCAAUCUCACCUUCCAAGCCCUCACCACCAAUCUUCCCUUUCUCCAAUCGACUCGGCCCUCCACCGAUCCACCACCUAUUACACACCCCCCGCGCCAGCUUCGCGACCCCCCUCCGAGUCUCCGGCUACUUCUCCUCCAUCAGCCGAGCAAUCGAGGAAGAAGAAGAGUACCGCAAGGCACGCGCCGCCGUGCACCGCAAAGGCGUCGAAUUGGACGGCUACGCCAUCGAGGGCGUCUCCGUCGGCGGCCACGAGACCUGCGUCAUCGUCCCCGAGCUCAAAUGCGUCUUCGACAUCGGACGGUGCCCUUCACGCGCCAUCCAGCAGAAGUUCCUUUUCAUCACCCACGCGCAUCUCGAUCACAUCGGAGGUUUACCGAUGUAUGUGGCUAGCCGUGGGUUAUACAACCUCGAGCCGCCGAAGAUAUUCGUGCCGCCGUCAAUUAAAGAAGAUGUUGAGAAGCUUCUUGAGAUUCACAGGAGUAUGGGUCAAGUCGAGCUCAACGUUGAACUCAUUCCACUCAGCGUUGGUGAGACAUAUGAGUUGCGCAAUGACAUUGUCGUUAGACCAUUUGCUACCAACCACGUCAUACCCAGUCAGGGAUAUGUGAUCUACUCGGUGAGGAACAAGUUGAAGAAGCAGUAUGGUCACCUUAAAGGCAAACAGAUCGAAAAGAUUAAAAAAACUGGCGUUGAGAUUACAGAUAUGAUAUUGUCCCCUGAGAUAGCUUUCACUGGAGAUACAACUGCAGAGUAUAUGCUUGACCCUCGUAACGCUGAUGCUUUGAGAGCUAAAAUUCUUAUAACCGAGGCUACCUUCUUGGAUGAAAGUUUUAGCAAUGAGCAUGCGCAGUCACUUGGUCACACUCAUAUAUCUCAGAUCAUUGAGAAUGCAAAGUGGAUUCGGAGCAAAACUGUGUUGUUAACGCAUUUCUCAUCACGUUACAAUAUAGAGGAAAUUCGUGAAGCUGUGCUCAAGUUGCAAUCAAAAGUGUCCGCAAAAGUUAUUCCUCUUACAGAAGGAUUUAAGUCAAGAUAUUCUUGAGAGAGUGCAAACAAUAAUAGUGUGAUUUGAAACCAUCUUUAUCAACGAAUGUAAGAUUGGUACAAAACUUUUGCCAUGCUGACUUUAGAUUGAGGCAAAGAGCAAAGAUGCAUUUGUUCCACCAAAGCCAAAAGAGUUUGACAUCGCAGUCUUAACUAGCA
Brassica rapa (field mustard) is the source of this 1365-nucleotide RNA transcript. It is a transcript of the gene named tRNase Z TRZ2, chloroplastic, with no coding region annotated. The record is from RefSeq and is a predicted model, not a curated record. NCBI's taxonomy places the organism in Eukaryota, Viridiplantae, Streptophyta, Magnoliopsida, Brassicales, Brassicaceae.